UACGGAGGGUGCAAGCGUUGUUCGGAAUCAUUGGGCGUAAAGCGCGUGUAGGCGGCUUGGCAAGUCGGGUGUGAAAUCCCGGGGCCCAACCCCGGAACUGCAUUCGAAACUGCCUCGCUAGAGUCCCGGAGAGGAAGGCGGAAUUCCCGGUGUAGAGGUGAAAUUCGUAGAGAUCGGGAGGAACACCAGCGGCGAAGGCGGCCUUCUGGACGGUGACUGACGCUGAGACGCGAAGGCGUGGGGAGCAAACAGG
Molecule: ribosomal RNA, 253 nt
Filed under: uncultured bacterium
Lineage: Bacteria
Description: partial 16S ribosomal RNA
Rfam family: Bacterial small subunit ribosomal RNA
Source: RNAcentral